CACAGAAGAAGCACCGGCUAACUCCGUGCCAGCAGCCGCGGUAAUACGGAGGGUGCGAGCGUUAAUCGGAAUUACUGGGCGUAAAGGGUGCGUAAGUGGUUGAUUAAGUUAUCUGUGAAAUUCCUGGGCUUAACCUGGGACGGUCAGAUAAUACUGGUUGACUCGAGUAUGGGAGAGGGUAGUGCAAUUUCCGGUGUAGCGGUGAAAAGCGUAGAGAUCGGAAGGAACACCAGUGGCGAAGGCGGCUACCUGGCCCAAUACUGACACUGAGGCACGAAAGCGUGGGGAGCAAACAGGAUU
Molecule: ribosomal RNA, 300 nt
Filed under: uncultured Legionella sp.
Lineage: Bacteria; Pseudomonadati; Pseudomonadota; Gammaproteobacteria; Legionellales; Legionellaceae
Description: bacterial SSU rRNA
Rfam family: Bacterial small subunit ribosomal RNA
Source: RNAcentral